RNAcentral lists this ribosomal RNA (496 nucleotides) under uncultured bacterium. Its description in RNAcentral is "bacterial SSU rRNA". It matches the Rfam family "Bacterial small subunit ribosomal RNA", at positions 899 to 1397 of the family's 1533-position model. The record is from RNAcentral.
ACUCAAAGGAAUUGACGGGGGCCCGCACAAGCAGCGGAGCAUGUGGUUUAAUUCGAAGCAACGCGAAGAACCUUACCAGAACUUGACAUCUCCUGCAUAAUCCGUAAUGGGAUGAAAUCCUUCGGGACAGGAAGACAGGUGGUGCAUGGUUGUCGUCAGCUCGUGUCGUGAGAUGUUGGGUUAAGUCCCGCAACGAGCGCAACCCCUAUACUUAGUUGCUACCAUUAAGUUGAGCACUCUAAGUAGACUGCCGGAGACAAUUCGGAGGAAGGUGGGGAUGACGUCAAAUCAUCAUGCCCCUUAUGUUCUGGGCUACACACGUGCUACAAUGGGUAUAACAACGGGAAGCAAGCCAGUGAUGGCAAGCCAAUCCCUAAAAAAUACUCCCAGUUCAGAUUGUUCUCUGCAACUCGAGAACAUGAAGUCGGAGUUGCUAGUAAUCGCGAAUCAGCAUGUCGCGGUGAAUACGUUCCCGGGCCUUGUACACACCGCCCGU